GUGGAGUUUAUGGCGUCAAAGAAGUUUAUGGUGACCGCCCGAACAUGGACUGCGGCCGAGGGAUGUUUUGCCCGUUUUGUGGCAAACACAUGAACAGCUUAACGCGGUUUUGCUUUACGUGUGGUCGGUGUUUGGAGUUUUUAAAGGACGCGGACAAGACGGAAACAUUGGAAACACAGGGGACGUCUCGACAGCCGGACAGUGCUAUGCAAAAACAACCAUGCCCAUCAUACAAACAGUUCAUGGAGUACAGAAGCUCGAAAUCCAAAGAACGACAGUCUUUUAACUAUGGGCCAAAAGGAAGAUAUAGGCCUAAAGAAAGAAAACACGUCCAGAUAAACGUAGGAUUGAUGGUGCCAAGUGGAACUGAUUUAAAACCUCUAAGAGGGAAAACACUACCGUUAUUUACAGACCCAGAGGUAGCAGCACCUGAUCUACUGAAACAAGCUGUCCAGAAAAUGACAACAUUUAACAAGGACAUGCACGAAGGACCUUAUGUCCUUUUGUAUCCAGACUGCUCAGAGGUGGUUCAUGUGCCUGGGUCAGAAAGGCCAUUCAAAUUGGCAGAAUAUAAAAAGGAAAUAGGAAAGGCAUAUUCCAGGAUCACUUUUUUUCAUUUGCCUAGAAAAACACUAUAAAAGAGUGGAUGAUACCUCAGACUCUGAUUCUGAAAUUGUCAUCACAACAAGGAGCACAGCUGAACUCAAUCGUGCUGACACUUUGGU
Long non-coding RNA from Coregonus clupeaformis (lake whitefish), 725 nucleotides. RefSeq lists it as uncharacterized. The transcript is spliced from 4 exons. Lineage: Eukaryota; Metazoa; Chordata; Actinopteri; Salmoniformes; Salmonidae. The record is from RefSeq and is a predicted model, not a curated record.